UCUGAUCUAACCAUGAAGACGUGCGGCUGUUUCCAGUCCUCUUUUACUCUAAGGAUAACCUGAGUAAAAAUUGAUUUAAAAUGAAACAAAGAGUCUUGAACUGAAGGAGUGAUCCCUUUGAAGAUCCAAUCAUUUCUGGCCAUCCAAAUAUUUCAACACAUGAUAAUUAUGACUUCCAUUAAGAAUUGAACCUGCAGCUGAAUUCUGAAGCUAUUUAGAAUUUCAUAUGGUUUUUCAGACAAAUUAGGAAACAUGCCUAUAUGAAUCCAACAUUCCUGAGCAAAAGAACAUCUAAGUAGGAGGUGGAAUAAAGUUUUCUCUCCACCAUGCUGACAAAGUACACAUUCAUAUGAAGGUAAGAUCAUAUGUUUCCUUCUAAGAAUGACCAGUGAGAUGACGAUAAGCUUUUGAUGAUGAAUAAUAUGGGCUGCCUAAAUGUAUGUCCAUAUAUCUGGUUUAGAUCCUCCAAACUGGCAGCCAGAUGCAUCAGUUGAUCAAGUGCCUGAGUUGAAAGAGGAAGAUGGAACAAUUGCUGAACAUCUACUAUUUCUUGGGCUUUUUGAAUAGAAAUUUCCUGCUUUUUGGUGAAGGAGAGGAGUUGGGGGUAUUCCUAAGUUGGCACUCGAUCUUUCCACAGAUCAUUCCAAAGAGAGCAUGUGUAUCCAUCAUUAACUGAAACCGUUGCAAGUCCUUUAUAUUUAUUCAAAAGCUUUAGAACAUCUUUCCACCAGAAAGAGCCCUUCCUUACAUGACUUGGCAGUUUUCCAUUAGAGUAAUAUUUCUCCCAUAACAGAUGUCCCCAAGGAAUAUCCGCUCUGUUAAAGAACUUAUGUAAGAAUUUGAGUAUUAAGGCUUCAUUUUGUGUUUUGAGAUUCAGAACUCCCAAACUCCCUUCUUUCUUUGGAAGGCAGACCAUUUCCCAGGCUGCUUUAGGUGAUUUUCUGUUAUUAAUGUCUAAACCUCUCCAAAGGUAAUGCUUCCUAUAUUUAUCAAUCUGCUUAUACACUAUGAAAUAUAGGUAGAGCAGUGAAAAUUGAAUUAGUUAACUGAAGGCGGCCGAGCCUUGCAAGCCCGCCAGCCAAGCUGGGUGCCGCCGUCGGCUUUCUGCUCGAUUCGCCGCGUCGAAGCAUUGCUGGAGCAAGCUGACGCUGCCCCGAGCUUCGCCUCACCAGGCCACACACCUGCCACCUCUUCUCGUCAUCAUACCGCCGUCGGAGCGCCGCCAACCACUGAAGCCUGGGCCGAGUACCGCCGCCGGGCUUGGCAGCUCGAUUCGACGCAUCGAGGUACCACCGGAGCCGGCCAACGCCACCAGGAGCAUCAUGAUGUCAAGCAGCGUGCUUUUCACUGGCCGUCAUCAUCGAUUCGCCGCCGCACGACCUCGUUCCCGUGAAGGUUGAGCCAAUCGCCAUCUUCCACCGCGGCUGAGCCUAAUUCCGGCCACUGCCGUUGUCCUCCGCCGCCGGUGAGCAUAUCCGAAAUCUCCCCUCGACCUCCUCUAUCUACCUCGCCGCUUCCCCUCGCCAUAGCCGGCCGGAGCACUGCCUAUUUUGGCUGGCCGAGCCGCCAUUCGUCAUGGGAGCAAGCUCCCAGAGCUUUUCAAGUUAGCCCCUAUGCUUUUGCAUGUAGACCCUCGAGCUAAUCUGUAAUAUCUGGUCGAUUCUUUGUGUCUUGGCAGAUUUAUAGAAUGACUCUUAAACCUUUUAGAUCCUUUCAACCUAACCCAAGCUGAGACCUUUUAUGGAUCUAACCCUGAGUUCCAAUCUAUUCGUGAGCAUUGUUCAAUGUGUCUCGGGAAUCUUCCUUGCUAGCACCUGUCGUCUAUGGUCAAUCACGAUUAGAUCCUUAAUCCUUGUUUAACCAAUAGAAUUCACGUUUUACCUCCGUUUAACCUGGUUCUUGUUGCGUUAGAUUCAUGUCAACUUAAAUCAUGUAUUAGAAGCAGUGUUGAUCAUAUUCUCUAUUUUGUAAUUUAUUCAAAAUAUUAAUGUGAUUGAGUACUUAUACACUUGCUUUCCUAAUUAAAUCUAAUUAGAGUUAACCCCGUGUUUUCAUAUUAAAUGUUAAUUUGAUUAAUGUUUAUUUAAAUAACUCCUCCAAUUAAAAGCUAAUUAGAGAUAUACCUUGGCUUUUCAUAAUUUAAACUCAAUUUGAUUAAUGUGUAUUCAGUUUGUUUUAUAAAUAAAAGCUACAUAGGUUAUAUCUUGAAUUUUCAUGAUUAAAUGUUAAUUUGGCUAAAAUGAAUAGAAAUGUAUAUUUAAUUAUAUUUGGUUAGUUCAACCCGAAUCAUAAAGUUAUACGCUUAGAUGCUUUUACAUACUUCUUUUAAAAUCAAAUGUUUAAUUUGCUUAAAUUGUUCUUAAAUAUUUAGAAAUAAAAUUGGACUAAGCUUUACAUUAUCUUUUCAUAUGUAAAUAUGACUUGAUUAAUUCCAACUAAGGAUAUUUUUCUGAAAUAUCUUUACAAUAUUUUUCUCGGCUAAAAUAAAUGAAACAUGUAGCUCUUGUCUUUUCUUUUACAAUCCAAACCGCUCGAUAGCUUUGUCUUUUCAACCAUAGCACCGUUUCUAGUCUUUCUUGCAGCCUUGCGUUCCUAGAAUCGAGCCCUAUCUUUUAGUAUGCUGUUUUAAAGCUUGUCUUUUGAUUGGUGUACUGUUCUUAGUUGUGAUUGUUUGUUUGCUUUGUAUACUUGUGCCUGAUGAUUGCUUCGAGUAGAAAGAUCGCUAUUCGAAAGAUUUGAAGGUUAAGAGUUUCAAGAGAGUAAGAGCUGAAGAGCAUUAAGAGUAACUUUUCUUUGGAGAAAGGCAAGUGUCCCUAACCACCCUUCUGUCUAUACUUAUUUAUAAUACCAUGAUAAUGUUAAUUGGAAUAUGGAUCGACCACCCAGGAAAACAGUACAACCACAAGAACUAUAUGACUCUAGUCUUGGCUAAUUAAUUAGAGACUCUAAUUUGGGGUAAUCUUACCGAAAGGGCAAGAGGGGAGGCGUUGAUGGGGUAUAGCCCGACCCUCAGGCUGAUCUGCUUUAUGGUAGCUUCGCAGUCUUGAGAGAGGUUUAUGUUCUGCUUCAACCUGAAACCUUAGCGGGUUGCUACUUAUUAGGGAAAUCUUUGUAAAGUUCUCGUAGCGUCCCUAUGCAGUGACACCUCGGUAGUGUGAUGAGUACCUGAUCAACACAGUAUGGUUGGGUCUAAAGUUUUUCUGAACUUUUACACGACUUGUCGGUAAAGAUGUACAACCUCUGCAGAGUGUAAAACUGAUAUAUCAGCCAUGCUCACGGUCAAGAGUGGCUUGGAUCCUCACAUGAUUAAUAAACUUGAAGAUGGAUCUAAAAUCGUUAUUUUGGUUAUUUCAUGUGGCCUUGCUGAGUACCAACUAUACUUGCUUAAUGCUGCUCAGAAGAAGAAGGUGUGUGAAGUUUUUUGAAGAUGAUGUUGAGUUCUAGGCGUACGCAACCCGCAACCCCCAGUCGAUUGCCUGUGAAGUUUGGAGCCUUCAUUUCCAGGAUUAAGCUGUAUAUCUCUGAUAGACUCGUAAGUCAUUAUUUAUAUUCCUUUACGUGAUACUGUUACUAUUAUUCACUAAUGAUGUCACUAUAUGUAUGAAACUAGAUCCUGGCAUACAUAUAGGUAGCACUUGGUUUUGUUAAAACCGGGUGUGACAUACCCCCUCCCAACCAUUGAUAACACAUCCCUAGCUAAAUUAAGCCAACUGAAGACAACCACAAAACUUCUUAUAAAUACGGACCACUUCCCUACAUUCCCAAAUCACCUCCACAUUCAACUUGGUCAGGUAAGUAGCCAUACCGGUAAUAUUUCGGCCAGAAUUCACUUCUAUCCUCAAAUUCCAGUUAAAAUCUGUCCAUAUUCCAAAAUUUUCGCCCGAAAACCGGCAUGCCGGCCCUACCUCUCUAUUCCACAAGGGUGCAUGAACACUGUAUGAUACACAAAUUAUACAUUCCAUGAACUAGUUAUCCAUUUCUAAAUUGAUUAAAAUAGAAAUACAAACACGGUGUUUGUUUGAAAAAAGUUGAAUAUAUAUGAAACCAAUAUUGAAAAAAAUAGACUGAGCUGCUGGUGGAAUCUAUCUAACCCAGGGAAUGAAGCAAAGGACAAUUACUUUAUUCGACAUGCAUGCUGCUGGCUCAUAUGCUUCUCUCAAGGCCAGAGAUGUAAAUAUUUCAAUUUGGGCAUUAGUGACGGUCCAUCUCUAGAUGUGACUUUCACAUAAUUCUCUGUAAAAAUGACAAAUUAAAACCUUAUGAAAUAUUUUCACAAGUCCAAAGCGAUUAUUUUUGUCAGAAUUUAUACGUGGGUGUAGAAUAAACAGCUACACCUAAAAUAUAUACAAUAGCACUUACACGUUUAUUUAUUGAUGGCUGAAUGAAGUAUAUACGAAAUAGAUAAGCAUACUCCUUUAAUUUAUACAUAACUUAUACAUAUAAAUUUGACAUAUAACUUUGUACUAACAAUUUUUUAUGGGAUAAUUUUUCAACACAACUUCUCUAAAGGAUAACUUCAUUCUUUAUUUUAGAAAGUUAUAAAUUACACGCAUGAUUUAUACACACAAAUAUUUUCCUAACAACAAUUUACGUGAUAAAUUUUGCAACAACAAUUUACGCAGGAUAGAACCGCAUGCAAUUAAGCAUCGGUACCAAGUUUCUGACGGCAGGUGUGGUCGCAUGCAUGCGCUCGGGAUGGAGGAAAUAACCGCAUGCAUGCUUCGCUGUGCCUGUUGUCGUCAUCUUGGGGAUCAACGACGACGGAGCCCGGCACUGGCACCACCGUACCGGCAAACGGCUGGAGAACGCGGGCUGGCACGGCGGACCAGAAAGAAACACGAACAAGCCAAGCCUCGGGCCGCGCCCAUGAUCCCUGCAAGAACAAUCGCCACCGAGCCCAAUGAACUACGUACUGUUUUUUUCUCUUCUUGAUCCAAAGGCCGCCCCAACCCGGCCAGCCCGCUUGCAGAUCAUGCACCGGCUAAGCCUUUGUUGGUGGAUCCAAG
RNAcentral lists this long non-coding RNA (5006 nucleotides) under Setaria italica (foxtail millet). RNAcentral describes it as "long non-coding RNA (SITA_LNC002691)". The record is from RNAcentral. Lineage: Eukaryota; Viridiplantae; Streptophyta; Magnoliopsida; Poales; Poaceae.